RNAcentral lists this long non-coding RNA (529 nucleotides) under Gossypium barbadense (sea-island cotton). Its description in RNAcentral is "long non-coding RNA (GBAR_LNC014568)". Lineage: Eukaryota; Viridiplantae; Streptophyta; Magnoliopsida; Malvales; Malvaceae. The record is from RNAcentral.
GGCAAAGGGUCUAAAUUGUUGCAGAUAAUGGCCAAUGCUCCACUUUCAACACAGACAUAAUUUCAUUGUAAAAUGGUCAAGAUUGGUUAAAAUACAUAGCCAGCAACCAGUCUAAGUGCUAAACCAAUCUUGCAAACACAUAUUAGCCAGCAACCAGUCUAAGUGCUAAACCAAUCUUGCAAACACAUAUUUACAAAAGCAUAAACUUACAUUUCAUUAAACAAAAGAAAAAAGGCCAUUGACACCACUCAACAAGAAGUUGGUAUUAAAAUCAUGGCACUUACAAGCAUCAAAAAGGGUCUAAAAACAUGCAAAUGUUCUUAUAUACAUAAACAUGUCAGGUCUUUAUAUGAUACCCUAAAACGCCAUAUCUAUUUGGAUCAAGUGGAAGAGUGACCAGCAGCUAGCCAGGAUUUCAGUCUAGUACAACAUAACCUUGCCUUCGAAGACGGCGCAAUUGAUGAAGGGGCGGUACACGAAGACGAGCAGGAAGGUCAUAAUCAUCAUCAUGGACAACAUGAACACCUCC